AUGGCUAGGAGCGGGAGGGAUCGAUUCCUGCGCUGCCGCCGCCGCCGGCGGCCGCAGGUGGUCCACGGUGAUGACCGGAUUAGCGCCCUAUCCGACGAUCUCCUGCUCGACAUCCUGGGCCGCCUUGACACCCGCACGGUUCUCGGCACCGGGAUGCUCUCCAAGCGCUGGGCCGGCCUCCCCCGCGAGCUCCCCGUCCUCGACUUCAGCGUCGGGGACAUACUCCCGCCGCGCUACCACCGAUGGGUCCUCCUUCAUCGGGACCCCGAGGUAGCCGGUUUCCACCACAAAUCCGGCGCGGCAAAGGUGCAGAAGGCCAUGCGUCACAUCAGGAGGUACGAGCGGCGCGCCAUGCGCGCCUUGACCAGCUCCGUGGAGCGCCUCUCGGACGCGGCGGCUGGCCGGAGGGUCAGCAGGCUGACGCUCGAGUUCUUCUCGACCCACAACACCGGCUGCAUCAACCGGCUCAUCUCCAGGGCCAUCGAUGCUUGGGAGGUCCGUGACGUCGUGGCCGUCGCUAAGCCGGUCUACUCGCAACGCCGAAAGUUCCACGCCUUCCCCAGCCAGGGCAUCUGCGACGCCCCGCACGCGUCACGCGUGCGAAGCCUCAAACUCGGAGGCUGCGCGCUCCCGCCGCUGCGCGGGCACGGCGCGCUCGCCGUGCUCGUCCUGCAGGACACGCCGAUUUCGACGCCCGUGUCGGCGUACGAGGGCAUCUUCACCUCGUGCCCGCAGCUGCAGGUGCUCCACCUCAUCUCCUGCUGCAGCGCCGGCAUUGGGCAGAUCACCGUGGACGCCCCCGGGUCAGACCUGAGGGAGCUCGUCGUCGACAACUGCGUCGGGUUCAUAGGGAUAGGCCUGCGGGCUCUUCCCAGGCUCGAGCGGCUGGCCUCCCUGGGCACCAGAGUGAGCUUCGACACCGCCUCGUUUCCCUGCCUCAGGCGAUGCAACCUCGCCCUGUGCAGGGGCAUCACGGAGGCAACGGCUCGCCGAUACUCUGUGCCACGCACGAAGCUGGAGCUUGGCUCGUUUGUGGGGUGCAUCCCGGACGUCACGGACAUGAUCAUUCGGUUCACUGGACCUGACAGAUGGAUCGUGCCGUCCGUUUCUUCGCCGGCGCUGCUACCAAAUCUCCGGCGGCUGCUGGUCGCCGACGUGCCUCGGUGCUGGGACGUCUCGUGGCCGCGUCUCCUCCUUGAGACGGCGCCUUCCCUCGAGACCCUCCAUGUCCACAUUGCCCCGCCUUGCAAAGAGGAAGAGGAGCCCAGCGGCGAUGAGAUAUCGUGGCAGCCCGCCAUGCUCGGGCACCGGCACCUCAAAGAGUUUGUGAUGGCUGGUUUUGAGGGGACGGAGAGGCAGGUUUACCUCGUCAGGUUUGUCAUGGGAGUGUGCAGCACGGCGUUGCGCCAUGUCGCCAUGCUCAAGAAGGGGCAUGUCCGGGACAAGGGGCACUGGGACUGGGAGAUGGUGACGCAGCAGCAGCAGAACUCGCAGUGGACCGACGAUGAGAAGGACAAGACGCUUAAGCAGAUCAUGAGCGGGGUUCCUUCUUCCUCAACCGCUUCUCCAGUUAUAGUUUUUGGCUGA
RNAcentral lists this ribosomal RNA (1587 nucleotides) under Triticum aestivum (bread wheat). RNAcentral's name for it is "partial small subunit ribosomal RNA". Lineage: Eukaryota; Viridiplantae; Streptophyta; Magnoliopsida; Poales; Poaceae. The record is from RNAcentral.